Molecule: non-coding RNA, 725 nt
Filed under: Dypsocus coleoptratus
Lineage: Eukaryota; Metazoa; Arthropoda; Insecta; Psocodea; Caeciliusidae
Source: RNAcentral
AUAAAGUUUUAUUCUUGCUUUAUAUUAUAUAAACUUAUUUAGUAAAUAUGAAUUUUAUAGAUUAAUUUUUGGUAUUAUUUAAAUUUAAAGAAAACUUAAUUAGUGUAUUAGAAAUAAGAAAAAUAAUAGUUAAAAUUGUGCCAGCAACUGCGGUUAUACAAUUAUUAUAAUAUAAUAAUUUUCGUAUUUUAAUAAUUUGACUAAUUUUAUUAAAUUAAAUUUAUUUAAGGUGAAAUUUAAUAAUUUAAUUUUAAGCUAUAUUAAAUAUUUAAAUGAAUUAAAGUAAUAAACUAGGAUUAGAUACCCUAUUAUAUUUAUUAAAUUUAAAUGCGAAGUAGUAAUUAUUAUAAAAUGAAACUUAAAGAAUUUGGCGGUACUUAUUCAAAUUAGAGGAAUAUGUUUUUAAAAUGAUAAUCCCCAAAUAUCUUACUUUAAUUUUAUUUUUGUAUAUCUCCGUCUAAAAAAAUUUUUUUAAAAUAUAUUUUAUUAAUCUUAAAAGAUAGAAGUCAGGUCAAGGUGCAGGUUAUAUUAAAGUAAAAAUGUAUUACAAUAAAAUUAUUUAUGGAAAUGAAUUGGAAUAUUCAUCUUAAAUUGGAUUUAAAAGUAAAUUUUUUUUAAUAAAAAUUAAUUGAAUAAAGUAAAUAAUUAUGUACAUAUUGCCCGUCAUUCUCUUAGGAGACAAGUCGUAACAAAGUAGAUUUACUGGAAAGUGAAUCUGAUUCAAG